RNAcentral lists this ribosomal RNA (468 nucleotides) under uncultured bacterium. Its description in RNAcentral is "partial 16S ribosomal RNA". It matches the Rfam family "Bacterial small subunit ribosomal RNA", at positions 28 to 507 of the family's 1533-position model. The record is from RNAcentral.
GACGAACGCUGGCGGCGUGCUUAACACAUGCAAGUCGAACGGAAAGGCCCUGCUUUUGUGGGGUGCUCGAGUGGCGAACGGGUGAGUAACACGUGAGUAACCUGCCCUUGACUUUGGGAUAACUUCAGGAAACUGGGGCUAAUACCGGAUAGGAGCUCCUGCUGCAUGGUGGGGGUUGGAAAGUUUCGGCGGUUGGGGAUGGACUGGCGGCUUAUCAGCUUGUUGGUGGGGUAGUGGCUUACCAAGGCUUUGACGGGUAGCCGGCCUGAGAGGGUGACCGGCCACAUUGGGACUGAGAGACGGCCCAGACUCCUACGGGAGGCAGCAGUGGGGAAUAUUGCACAAUGGGCGGAAGCCUGAUGCAGCAACGCCGCGUUCGGGAUGACGGCCUUCGGGUUGUAAACCGCUUUCGCCUGUGACGAAGCGUGAGUGACGGUAAUGGGUAAAGAAGCACCGGCUAACUACGUG